AAACACAGUCGCACCCACACGGAGAAUGCGUCGCUUGCUCAGAACCCAAGCCUGGCAUCUCAUCAGCACUGGGGGGCUGCCUUCUGGGUCACGAGGAAUGAGGACCCAUGGAGAGGCGUGUCUAUGGGUCAGCCAGCUCAGCCAUUCUGUCAGUACCAGACCCCACAAGAUCACAUGCACCAGAGACACGGCCCACCUCUUAGCACUGAACAAUACCAGCAGGGUUCUCCGGGCGCCAGGAGGACGGGUCCCGUGGGCAGCGAAGCGUUUCGGGUCCCUCAGGGGUCUUUGGCUCCCCGCCCCGCAGAGAAAAGCACCCAUUUCCUCCCCCUUCACACGGGACAAUACGCACCUCUCCUCUUCUCCCAAUACUGAGCCCAGCGUGGAAUACACGCGGUCUCAAAACGGGAGCUUUAUUCACCUGUGCACAGUCAUUUACACUGUGCAUAGCCAUUUACACUGUGUACCACCAUUUACACUGUGCAUAGCCAUUUACACUGUGCAUAGCCAUUUACACUGUGUACCACCAUUUACACUGUGCAGAACCAUUUACACUGUGCAUUGCAACAGUUCUUAUGCACUGUAAAAACAAAACUUUGCUUUUGUGACUUUAAAUAUGAAAUGGGAUGCAAUUAGUUUUAAGAACAAGUUAUUUUUGAGAGCUUAUUUAUAAUAGUAGACUGCAUCACUGUUUCCAUUUUAAUUUUGGUUAUUGAAAAACACCCAAAGGUGAAAGAGCAAGCACUUCCUGUUAAUCUUAUUUAUAUUUGUCAUAUGCCUUUCUGAAAGUUCCACAGUGCUUAUUAAACAAUAAAACUAUGUUGUAUGUAAACAGUAAAUGUAUGUAUG
Anguilla anguilla (European eel) is the source of this 849-nucleotide long non-coding RNA. RefSeq lists it as uncharacterized. The transcript is spliced from 4 exons. Lineage: Eukaryota; Metazoa; Chordata; Actinopteri; Anguilliformes; Anguillidae. The record is from RefSeq and is a predicted model, not a curated record.